GACGAACGCUGGCGGCGUGCUUAACACAUGCAAGUCGAACGGAAAGGCCCUGCUUUUGUGGGGUGCUCGAGUGGCGAACGGGUGAGUAACACGUGAGUAACCUGCCCUUGACUUUGGGAUAACUUCAGGAAACUGGGGCUAAUACCGGAUAGGAGCUCCUGCUGCAUGGUGGGGGUUGGAAAGUUUCGGCGGUUGGGGAUGGACUCGCGGCUUAUCAGCUUGUUGGUGGGGUAGUGGCUUACCAAGGCUUUGACGGGUAGCCGGCCUGGGAGGGUGACCGGCCACAUGGGGACUGAGAUACGGCCCAGACUCCUACGGGAGGCAGAAGUGGGGAAUAUUGCACAAUGGGCGGAAGCCUGAUGCAGCAACGCCGCGUGCGGGAUGACGGCCUUCGGGUUGUAAACCGCUUUCGCCUGUGACGAAGCGUGAGUGACGGUAAUGGGUAAAGAAGCACCGGCUAACUACGUG
This 468-nucleotide ribosomal RNA is filed under the name uncultured bacterium. RNAcentral describes it as "partial 16S ribosomal RNA". It matches the Rfam family "Bacterial small subunit ribosomal RNA", at positions 28 to 507 of the family's 1533-position model. The record is from RNAcentral.